RNAcentral lists this long non-coding RNA (3144 nucleotides) under Rattus norvegicus (Norway rat). Its description in RNAcentral is "long non-coding RNA NONRATT028673". Lineage: Eukaryota; Metazoa; Chordata; Mammalia; Rodentia; Muridae. The record is from RNAcentral.
GCUUCCCCUUUGUUUUCAGAACAGAGCUCGUGUGUGUGUGUGUGUGUGUGUGUGUGUGUGUGUGUGUGUGUGUGUGCGCAUGCUCUCGUGUGCUGUGCACCUGUGUGUACUGUUCUGUCAUCACUGUCCCCUCCUCCUCAGUUUGCAUUUGCUUAAUAUCAGUUCCUACUUCUUUCAAAAUGUUUCCGAGGUCUUGAACUCUUGUGUGAGCAUCUUUCUCAACUCUCCCCAGGUGCAUGUUCUCCAUCACAGAUCCCCUGUGAUCUGCUGUCUACCCUCUACGAGUGUGUUUCCCAGAAGUGCUGGAGUAAAAGCUGCCUGGAUAAGCAAUCUGUGGGCAGGCCCUCGAAUGACAAUACACUUUGGUUGACUCUAAAUCUGAAUUGCCAGUGGUCCAUAUGUAAGCCAAGGCUGUGAGCACCUGCAUUUUGGCCAUAGGGUAACAAGUUUUCCUUGAGGAUCUUCAUACCGAAAUGGGAUCUGAAAGAACCCUCGUAGCCCCGUGGGGUGUGGAGUGCCAUUUGCAGCUGGCAGAGGACGUUCCAUUCCAUCGAAAGAAAAGGAAGGAAGGAAAGAAGUCAGUUACUCUAAAGUUAACAGUUCAGCACAUGUGGAUUCAUAGCAAAUCUAUUUGAUAAACAGUUGAAACUCAAAAAUAACCUUAGUUAUUUUGUUUUUGAGGCUCUGAGUAUACUUUUUAUUCUUAGCUGUGUUCUUUUUUUCCUUCACUUUUUAGUGGCAAGCAUGACAUAGGAAGCCUUUUUUUUUUUUUUAAUUGAAGAAUCGAUUGGUCUUACCUAAUCUCAAUAGCAGAAUAUGUAAAUAUAUUAAAAUGUUUUCGAGAUGAUUAAGGGUCAAAGGAAGGAACAAGUGCUUCUCAUACUUGAGCAGAGAAGAAAGCAUGCUCUUACAGUGGAGAAUAGAUGACGCGUGGCUAAUGGGGGGUGCGGGCCUAACUGCAGAGAGCCAAGGCAUGCCACCACCAGGUCCUGCAACUGGCUUUUUAGAUUACACCCUCGUGUUUUCAGAGUUGGUGAAGGACCAGCUUUGUGUAUAGUAAACUUGUUUUCAAGCCUUGCAUCAGUACAGAAGGACCGAUACUAAUCCAGGGAGAAGUCAAGAUGGCUGUGUCUUCAGUUAUAUGAUAAAGCAAGUGGUUCAUAUGACAGUGUGGCAUCUAAAAAUAAUAUGUUUUAUAGUGUCUCUCUGCUACUAAAAUGUCAACUUGAAUUUUUGAAAAAAGUUGGUGUUGAUAUGUAUAUGUGUGUGUGUGUAUAUAUGUAUUUAUAAAUAAGUGUGUGUGAGUAACAUCGUUGUCUUCCCCUACGCAUGUGUGUUCCACACAAACAGCUGUGUUAGAGUCACAAAACAAUUCGCAAUAAAACAAGACAUUUGUUGUCAGUUCAAACCAGAAAUAGUUACGUUUUUAAAUUCAUCUGGUGUUGUGAGUACAUGUUCUCCCAGUUCUCAUUACUGUAUUAAUUUAGACUCGUUUCAGAUACCAUAAUUUGUUGCAUUGGGAUUAGAAUGGGAAUCACUAAAAUUUUGAGGGGUUUCUGUUAAUAUAGCAAUAGGAAACAUUUUAUUAUUUUAACUGAGAUAGAAUGAAUAGUGUUCUUUGUCCUUGGUUUUGUUUGGUUGUUUUGGUUUGGUUUGCUUUUGGUUCUGUUAGUGGUUUUCGGAUAUUGAUCCAUAGUUUUUUGUGUCUGAUGCUAAAUUACAAACUUAGAACCAUCCAGUGUAAACCAGCUCUCUGCAUUCUUCAUGCCAGUUAUAGAGGGGUCACUCUCCUUCUGUGUCCUGCCUUGUACCAGCCUAAGGGGAAAGUGGGUAAUUGGAGAACUAGAUGUCCUGUGGCUCUGGUCAUGUCCCCACAGGAGAACAUGGUGGUCUAUGUAUUUUGUUCCUUCCACUUACUGAGGAGUUCAUUUCUUCAGUAUUGACUUUCUAAAAUGUUGCAUGUGGUCAAGGUGAGUCAGAGACUUUCCCAACCCUUAAUAACUAUUAGAGUCAUGUACUACUUUAUCUCCUACAUUUAAAAGAAAAAGUGCAUGGUCGCUUUGUCCCUUUUUGUUGUUGUUUUUCCUUAGCCUGCCCUCACUCCCUAGCCUUGCCAAUCUUGAUAGGCUGCAGACAAACUCUGCACUCAGCAGCUUUCGUUCAGCAAGUUGCCAGGAGCCCCUUCCUUAGUCUUUCUUACUAGCAUGUACACGUGUGCUCUGUACAGUACCACAUGUUCUGUACAGUACCGUGUGUGUGCUCCUGUCUAUCUGUAUGUAAGCACACAUCAUCAAUAAAGUAGCCAUUCAACCAGGAGGGUGGAGGUGGCUUUUAAUUUACUCUGUGGGCAUUACUGGACAGGUUUUUUAAAAUAUGAAACUUAACCAUGCAUACUCUGUUGACCAAUUCAUUUUGAGUAUUAAAGUUGUUCCAUUGCUAAUUUAGAUGUUAUACAUCUAAAUUUAGAUGUACUGACUUAAUCACUCAGUUUUGAAAAAUGUGGGUUCUUUUGUUGGUGGUGGUGGUGGUGGCAUAUUUUUUGUUGCUUUUUGUUUUGUUCUUUUUUUCAGCCAAUUCUCCUUUGAGACAAGUCUGUGAAAAUGAAUAAAAAUAUACCCCAAUUGUAAAUGGAUAGAUGUAGAAAGAACCUAGUUUUUAAAGCAAUUUCAAUUUUAAAUACAUGAGACUUUCUGAAUCUUCAGGACUCUUAAAAGCACAUUUGAAUUUAUUUUGGUAAGAAUUUUGUUUUGUGACUGCACAUUGAAUUCUGUUUGUUUGUUUUUUUAAAUAAAUGCAAAGCAUAGAUUUCAAGGAGGGAGGGAGAGUAGCCGGUGGUCCCAGUGCGCUGCUGCUGUUUUAUUAACAAAGGGGAAGAUGUAUAUAAAUAGAUAAAGAUUACCAUAAAUUCCAUGAACUUAAAUCUGUGAUUCAUUGCCUUAAGACUUUCUCUCUUAGAAUUUCCAUACCGCAUGCCAAACCAGUAAAAUGGCUUUUAAAAGAUGUAUAGUAGACCAAUGUCAGUUUGUAUAAAAGUACCAAGUGAAAAUAUUUAUUACAUGCAUUGGAGAAAAGUUGUUUCCCUGUUGAAUGUUACCUGUUUCUGUAGAGCUCUUUAGAUGUAAUAAAAAAGAAGCCUUCAGUUAA